This 85-nucleotide non-coding RNA is filed under the name Pseudomonadota bacterium. RNAcentral's name for it is "Proteobacteria bacterium SAH sequence". It matches the Rfam family "SAH (S-adenosyl-L-homocysteine) riboswitch aptamer". The record is from RNAcentral. Lineage: Bacteria; Pseudomonadati; Pseudomonadota.
CCCGGCGAGGGGCGUUGCGACGGCGGGAUCUCCCGCUGCCAGGCUCGCCGGGGACCCAUCCUUGUUGCAACGGCGCCCGCCAACC